GAUGAAGAACGUAGCGAAAUGCGAUAAAUAGUGUGAAUUGCAGAAUUCAGUGAAUCAUCGAAUCUUUGAACGCACAUUGCGGCCAUAGGUAUUCCUUUGGCCAUGCCUGUUCGAGCGUCAUUUACACCCUCAAGCCUAGCUUGGUGUUGGGCGUCUGUCCCGCCGUUCUCGCGCGCGGACUCGCCUCAAAGUCAUUGGCGGCGGUCGUGCCGGCCCCCUCGCGCAGCACAUUUGCGCUUCUCGGAGGCCCGGCGGAUCCGCGCUCCAGCAAGACCUUUCACGACUUGACCUCGGAUCAGGUAGGGAUACCCGCUGAACUUAAGCAUAUCAAUAAGCGGAGGA
This 342-nucleotide unclassified non-coding RNA is filed under the name soil metagenome. RNAcentral describes it as "partial contains 5.8S ribosomal RNA, internal transcribed spacer 2, and large subunit ribosomal RNA". The stretch from base 1 to 120 matches the Rfam family "5.8S ribosomal RNA", at positions 35 to 154 of the family's 154-position model. The record is from RNAcentral.